GACGAACGCUGGCGGCGUGCUUAACACAUGCAAGUCGAACGGAAAGGCCCUGCUUUUGUGGGGUGCUCGAGUGGCGAACGGGUGAGUAACACGUGAGUAACCUGCCCUUGACUUUGGGAUAACUUCAGGAAACUGGGGCUAAUACCGGAUAGGAGCUCCUGCUGCAUGGUGGGGGUUGGAAAGUUUCGGCGGUUGGGGAUGGACUCGCGGCUUAUCAGCUUGUUGGUGGGGUAGUGGCUUACCAAGGCUUUGACGGGUAGCCGGCCUGAGAGGGUGACCGGCCACAUUGGGACUGAGAUACGGCCCAGACUCCUACGGGAGGCAGCAGUGGGGAAUAUUGCACAAUGGGCGGAAGCCUGAUGCAGCAACGCCGCGUGCGGGAUGACGGCCUUCGGGUUGUAAACCGCUUUCGCCUGUGACGAAGCGUGAGUGACGGUAAUGGGUAAAGAAGCACCGGCUAACUACGUGCCAGCAGCCGCGGUGAUACGUAGGGUGCGAGCGUUGUCCGGAUUUAUUGGGCGUAAAGGGCUCGUAGGUGGUUGAUCGCGUCGGAAGUGUAAUCUUGGGGCUUAACCCUGAGCGUGCUUUCGAUACGGGUUGACUUGAGGAAGGUAGGGGAGAAAUGGAAUUCCUGGUGGAGCGGUGGAAUGCGCAGAUAUCAGGAGGAACACCAGUGGCGAAGGCGGUUCUCUGGGCCUUUCCUGACGCUGAGGAGCGAAAGCGUGGGGAGCGAACAGGCUUAGAUACCCUGGUAGUCCACGCUGUAAACGGUGGGUACUAGGUGUGGGGUCCAUUCCACGGGUUCCGUGCCGUAGCUAACGCUUUAAGUACCCCGCCUGGGGAGUACGGCCGCAAGGCUAAAACCCAAAGGAAUUGACGGGGCCCCGCACAAGCGGCGGAGCAUGCGGAUUAAUUCGAUGCAACGCGUAGAACCUUACCUGGGUUUGACAUGGAUCGGGAGUGCUCAGAGAUGGGUGUGCCUCUUUUGGGGUCGGUUCACAGGUGGUGCAUGGCUGUCGUCAGCUCGUGUCGUGAGAUGUUGGGUUAAGUCCCGCAACGAGCGCAACCCUUGUUCACUGUUGCCAGCACGUUAUGGUGGGGACUCAGUGGAGACCGCCGGGGUCAACUCGGAGGAAGGUGGGGAUGACGUCAAGUCAUCAUGCCCCUUAUGUCCAGGGCUUCACGCAUGCUACAAUGGCUGGUACAGAGAGUGGCGAGCCUGUGAGGGUGAGCGAAUCUCGGAAAGCCGGUCUCAGUUCGGAUUGGGGUCUGCAACUCGACCUCAUGAAGUCGGAGUCGCUAGUAAUCGCAGAUCAGCAACGCUGCGGUGAAUACGUUCCCGGGGCU
This 1347-nucleotide ribosomal RNA is filed under the name uncultured bacterium. Its description in RNAcentral is "partial 16S ribosomal RNA". It matches the Rfam family "Bacterial small subunit ribosomal RNA", at positions 28 to 1381 of the family's 1533-position model. The record is from RNAcentral.